This 479-nucleotide ribosomal RNA is filed under the name uncultured bacterium. RNAcentral's name for it is "bacterial SSU rRNA". It matches the Rfam family "Bacterial small subunit ribosomal RNA", at positions 32 to 503 of the family's 1533-position model. The record is from RNAcentral.
AAUCAACGCUGGCGGCGUGCCUCAGACAUGCAAGUCGAACGCGAAAGUUCCCCGCAAGGGAGCGAGUAGAGUGGCGCUCGGGUGAGUAACACGUAGGUAAUCUACCUUUGGGUGGGGAAUAACAGCCGGAAACGGCUGCUAAUACCGCAUAAUGCAGCGGCUCGACAUCGAGACAGUUGUUAAAGCGGGGGAAUCCUUCGGGAACCUCGCGCCUGAAGAGGAGCCUGCGGCAGAUUAGCUAGUUGGUAAGGUAAUGGCUUACCAAGGCUUCGAUCUGUAGCCGGCCUGAGAGGGCGGUCGGCCACACUGACACUUAAAUACGGGUCAGACUCCUACGGGAGGCAGCAGUCGGGAAUUUUGGGCAAUGGGCGAAAGCCUGACCCAGCAACGCCGCGUGAAGGAUGAAGUAUUUCGGUAUGUAAACUUCGAAAGAAUAGGAAGAAUAAAUGACGGUACUAUUUAUAAGGUCCGGCUAACUA